RNAcentral lists this ribosomal RNA (497 nucleotides) under uncultured bacterium. RNAcentral describes it as "partial 16S ribosomal RNA". It matches the Rfam family "Bacterial small subunit ribosomal RNA", at positions 28 to 507 of the family's 1533-position model. The record is from RNAcentral.
GAUGAACGCUGGCGGCGUGCCUAAUACAUGCAAGUCGAGCGAACAGACGAGGAGCUUGCUCCUCUGACGUUAGCGGCGGACGGGUGAGUAACACGUGGAUAACCUACCUAUAAGACUGGGAUAACUUCGGGAAACCGGAGCUAAUACCGGAGAAUAUAUUGAACCGCAUGGUUAAAUAGUGAAAGACGGUUUUGCUGUCACUUAUAGAUGGAUCCGCGCCGCAUUAGCUAGUUGGUAAGGUAACGGCUUACCAAGGCGACGAUGCGUAGCCGACCUGAGAGGGUGAUCGGCCACACUGGAACUGAGACACGGUCCAGACUCCUACGGGAGGCAGCAGUAGGGAAUCUUCCGCAAUGGGCGAAAGCCUGACGGAGCAACGCCGCGUGAGUGAUGAAGGUCUUCGGAUCGUAAAACUCUGUUAUUAGGGAAGAACAAAUGUGUAAGUAACUAUGCACGUCUUGACGGUACCUAAUCAGAAAGCCACGGCUAACUACGUG